GCAGUAAGAUGCGCCCCAAUUCGGCGAGUAGCGCAGCUUGGUAGCGCAACUGGUUUGGGACCAGUGGGUCGGAG
This 74-nucleotide transfer RNA is filed under the name Yersinia enterocolitica (type O:5,27) str. YE149/02. RNAcentral's name for it is "transfer RNA-Pro". The record is from RNAcentral. Lineage: Bacteria; Pseudomonadati; Pseudomonadota; Gammaproteobacteria; Enterobacterales; Yersiniaceae.